AGAGUUUGAUCCUGGCUCAGAACAAACGCUGGCGGCGUGCUUAACACAUGCAAGUCGUACGAGAAAAUUGGCUUCGGCCGAUAAGUAAAGUGGCGCACGGGUGAGUAACGCGUGGAUAAUCUACCCUUUAGCUGGGAAUAACUCACCGAAAGGUGGGCUAAUACCUGAUAAUACUGUUUCUGCUGCGGCAGAGCAGUCAAAGAUAGCCUCUGUAUACAAGCCUUCACUAAAGGAUGAGUCCGCGUACCAUUAGCUAGUUGGUAGGGUAAUGGCCUACCAAGGCGACGAUGGUUAGCUGGUCUGAGAGGAUGAUCAGCCACACUGGAACUGAGAUACGGUCCAGACUCCUACGGGAGGCAGCAGUGAGGAAUCUUGCGCAAUGGGGGAAACCCUGACGCAGCAACGCCGCGUGAGUGAGGAAGGCCUUCGGGUCGUAAAGCUCUGUCAGGUGGAGAGAAGUGUAUAGAAGUUAAUAGCUUUUAUACUUGACGGUACCGCCAAAGGAAGCACCGGCAAACUCCGUGCCAGCAGCCGCGGUAAUACGGGGGGUGCAAGCGUUGUUCGGAAUCAUUGGGCGUAAAGAGCGUGUAGGCGGCGAGAUAAGUCAGAUGUGAAAGCCCUGGGCUCAACUCAGGAAGUGCAUUUGAAACUGUUUUGCUAGAGUAAGGGAGAGGGAAGUGGAAUUCCUGGUGUAGAGGUGAAAUUCGUAGAUAUCAGGAGGAACACCGGUGGCGAAGGCGACUUCCUGGCCCUAUACUGACGCUGAGACGCGAGAGCGUGGGUAGCAAACAGGAUUAGAUACCCUGGUAGUCCACGCCGUAAACGAUGUUCACUAGGUGUUGGGGGUAUUGACCCCCUCAGUGCCGGAGCUAACGCAUUAAGUGAACCGCCUGGGGAGUACGGUCGCAAGACUAAAACUCAAAGGAAUUGACGGGGGCCCGCACAAGCGGUGGAGCAUGUGGUUUAAUUCGAUGCAACGCGAAGAACCUUACCUGGGCUUGACAUCCCAAAUUUCCUGGAAACAGGAGAGUGCCCUUCGGGGAACCCGGUGACAGGUGCUGCAUGGCUGUCGUCAGCUCGUGUCGUGGGAUGUUGGGUUAAGUCCCGCAACGAGCGCAACCCUUGUCUUUAAUUGCCAUCAUUAAGUUGGGCACUUUAAAGAGACUGCCGGUGUUAAGCCGGAGGAAGGUGGGGAUGACGUCAAGUCCUCAUGGCCUUUAUGCCCAGGGCUACACACGUGCUACAAUGGGCGGUACAAAGGGAAGCAAUCUCGCAAGAGUGAGCAAAUCUCAAAAAGCCGUUCUCAGUUCGGAUUGGAGUCUGCAACUCGACUCCAUGAAGUUGGAAUCGCUAGUAAUCACGGAUCAGCAUGCCGUAGUGAAUACGUUCCCGGGCCCUGUACACACCGCCCGUCACACC
This 1419-nucleotide ribosomal RNA is filed under the name metagenome. Its description in RNAcentral is "bacterial SSU rRNA". It matches the Rfam family "Bacterial small subunit ribosomal RNA". The record is from RNAcentral.